Molecule: ribosomal RNA, 253 nt
Filed under: uncultured bacterium
Lineage: Bacteria
Description: partial 16S ribosomal RNA
Rfam family: Bacterial small subunit ribosomal RNA
Source: RNAcentral
UACGUAGGGUGCGAGCGUUAAUCGGAAUUACUGGGCGUAAAGCGUGCGCAGGCGGUUUUUUAAGUCAGAUGUGAAAUCCCCGGGCUUAACCUGGGAACUGCGUCCGAUACUGGCAGGCUUGAAUCCGGGAGAGGGAUGCGGAAUUCCAGGUGUAGCGGUGAAAUGCGUAGAUAUCUGGAGGAACACCGGUGGCGAAGGCGGCGUCCUGGACCGGUAUUGACGCUGAGGCGCGAAAGCUAGGGGAGCAAACGGG